This 486-nucleotide ribosomal RNA is filed under the name uncultured bacterium. RNAcentral's name for it is "partial 16S ribosomal RNA". It matches the Rfam family "Bacterial small subunit ribosomal RNA", at positions 30 to 507 of the family's 1533-position model. The record is from RNAcentral.
AUUGAACGCUGGCGACAUGCCUUACACAUGCAAGUCGAACGGCAGCACGGGUGCUUGCCCCUGGUGGCGAGUGGCGAACGGGUGAGUAAUACAUCGGAACAUGUCCUGUAGUGGGGGAUAGCCCGGCGAAAGCCGGAUUAAUACCGCAUACGAUCUACGGAUGAAAGCGGGGGACCUUCGGGCCUCGCGCUAUCGGGUUGGCCGAUGGCUGAUUAGCUAGUUGGUGGGGUAAAGGCCUACCAAGGCGACGAUCAGUAGCUGGUCUGAGAGGACGACCAGUCACACUGGGACUGAGACACGGCCCAGACUCCUACGGGAGGCAGCAGUGGGGAAUUUUGGACAAUGGGCGAAAGCCUGAUCCAGCAAUGCCGCGUGUGUGAAGAAGGCCUUCGGGUUGUAAAGCACUUUUGUCCGGAAAGAAAUCCUUGGCCCUAAUACGGUCGGGGGAUGACGGUACCGGAAGAAUAAGCACCGGCUAACUACGUG